AGGCCAGCAUCAAUAUGGUGAUCCCUGAGGAGCUCGGGGUCACCAGGUUGCCUAAGGAGGGGUGAACCGGCCCAGGUUGGAAACGGAGUAGGUCACACUCCCGUGCCGGUCA
Molecule: signal recognition particle RNA, 112 nt
Filed under: Tinamus guttatus (white-throated tinamou)
Lineage: Eukaryota; Metazoa; Chordata; Aves; Tinamiformes; Tinamidae
Description: Metazoan signal recognition particle RNA
Rfam family: Metazoan signal recognition particle RNA
About the family: The signal recognition particle (SRP) is a universally conserved ribonucleoprotein. It is involved in the co-translational targeting of proteins to membranes.
Source: Rfam by way of RNAcentral